GACAGAGGGUGCAAACGUUGUUCGGAAUUACUGGGCGUAAAGCGCGUGUAGGCGGCUAAGUAAGUCGGGCGUGAAAUCCCACGGCUCAACCGUGGAAGUGCACUCGAAACUGCAUAGCUAGAGUCCUGGAGAGGAAGGUGGAAUGCUUGGUGUAGAGGUGAAAUUCGUAGAUAUCAAGCGGAACACCGGUGGCGAAGGCGGCCUUCUGGACAGUGACUGACGCUGAGACGCGAAAGCCAGGGGAGCAAACGGG
This 253-nucleotide ribosomal RNA is filed under the name uncultured bacterium. Its description in RNAcentral is "partial 16S ribosomal RNA". It matches the Rfam family "Bacterial small subunit ribosomal RNA", at positions 524 to 776 of the family's 1533-position model. The record is from RNAcentral.